RNAcentral lists this ribosomal RNA (373 nucleotides) under uncultured bacterium. RNAcentral's name for it is "bacterial SSU rRNA". It matches the Rfam family "Bacterial small subunit ribosomal RNA", at positions 28 to 402 of the family's 1533-position model. The record is from RNAcentral.
GACGAACGCUGGCGGCGUGCUUAACACAUGCAAGUCGAGCGGUAAGGCCCUUUCGGGGGUACACGAGCGGCGAACGGGUGAGUAACACGUGGGUGACCUGCCCUCAGCUCUGGGAUAAGCCUGGGAAACUGGGUCUAAUACCGGAUAUGACUCCAUGACGCAUGUUGUGGGGUGGAAAGCCUUGUGCGGCUGAGGAUGGGCCCGCGGCCUAUCAGCUUGUUGGUGGGGUGAUGGCCUACCAAGGCGACGACGGGUAGCCGGCCUGAGAGGGCGACCGGCCACACUGGGACUGAGACACGGCCCAGACUCCUACGGGAGGCAGCAGUGGGGAAUAUUGGACAAGUGGGGCAACCCUGAUCCAGCCAUGCCGCGU